AUGCCCAACCACAGCUUGGACAAACGCCUCUUCCGCGAGCCCCGCGGGACAGGCUUGAUCUGGCGGCUUCGCUACAGCAUCGUCAACGACGUCGCCCGGGCGCUCUACCACCUGCACGUCACCAACGUUCCCCACGGGUCGAUCAAGGUGUCCAACGUCAUGCUCGAGCAAGACUUCGGCGCCCGGCUCCACGGGCACUUCGGCUACCAGCCCGACCAGAGCAACACGCCCCGAGGUUCGCUGGAGGUGGACAUGCUGGAAUUCGGUGUGCUGAUAUUGCAGGUCGUAUGUGGGCCCCAGGGGCGGAGCCAGGCUAACACCGCGCCCUGGGCCUGCUUCAUCGCCACAGUGUUCAACUGGGUUCAACAGUGCAAAAUCGCUACAGUCAACGAAGAAAUAAAUCUUCACGGCCGGGGAUCGCCGGCUGAACUGGUGGACUGGGUUUGGACGCUUCAAGGGGAAAGUCGCCUGCUCGAGGCGGUCGACCCAGCAGCGCGGGGCGACGACUUCAACUCUGCUCAGGCGACCAAGCUUCUACUCGUCGCCCUCUCGUGCACAUACCCGGACCCAGCGGCGCGGCUGACUAUCUAUGAGGUCCGCAGGAUCUUAUCGGACCAAGCUCCACUGCCAGAGGUUCCUCCAUCCAAACCCACCUGA
This 657-nucleotide ribosomal RNA is filed under the name Triticum aestivum (bread wheat). Its description in RNAcentral is "partial small subunit ribosomal RNA". The record is from RNAcentral. Lineage: Eukaryota; Viridiplantae; Streptophyta; Magnoliopsida; Poales; Poaceae.